UCAUGCAUUCAAGGCCAUAGCAAAAGUGCUCACAGCAUGGCCUGUCAGAUUCCAGUGAAUCUGCAAAUUCUGCU
RNAcentral lists this ribozyme (74 nucleotides) under Crocodylus porosus (Australian saltwater crocodile). Its description in RNAcentral is "Mammalian CPEB3 ribozyme (ENSCPRG00005004386.1)". It matches the Rfam family "Mammalian CPEB3 ribozyme". Rfam says of the family: The mammalian CPEB3 ribozyme is a self cleaving RNA located in the second intron of the CPEB3 gene which belongs to a family of genes regulating messenger RNA polyadenylation. This ribozyme is highly conserved and found only in mammals. Lineage: Eukaryota; Metazoa; Chordata; Crocodylia; Crocodylidae. The record is from Rfam by way of RNAcentral.